Long non-coding RNA from Homo sapiens (human), 5686 nucleotides. RefSeq lists it as uncharacterized. The record is from RefSeq and is a predicted model, not a curated record. Lineage: Eukaryota; Metazoa; Chordata; Mammalia; Primates; Hominidae. The transcript has 2 exons.
ACUCCUUCCUGACACUCACGCCACCAUGUCCUCCCCAAAGUGCAUUUGCAUUUUAACAGCCAUCUUCCGUGAGCUGACUCUGUGGUUUUCAGUCAGUGGUUUCCAGUCGGCUAUUUGUCAUAAGUUCUGGAGGUUGGGAAGUCCAAAGUCGAGUGGCCGUAUCCGGUGAGAGCCCUCCUGCAGCAUCAUCCCAUGACGGAAGGUGUCCCAUGGUGAGAGAGCACGUAUACCAGCUCAGGUCUCCCUUCCUUUUCUCAUAAGGCCACAUCCCCCAUCGGGUCCCAUCCUGAUGUCCUCAUCUAAUCCUAGUUACCUCCCAAAGGCCCCACCUCCAAUCAACAUGUGACUAUGGGGAGUAAGUUUCCAGCCUAUGAAACUGGGGGACACAUUCAAACCACAGCACCAAGCAAGCUGGAGCAGCCAAGAGGAAGCCACAUGUUCCUGCAGGGCAGGGCAGCCUCCACCAUGCAGGGCUGGGACAGGCCAGGGCAGUGAGGGCUCAUGGGGGCCGCACCCACGCCAGCUCCUGCAGCACCAGCCUCUGGCCAGCUGUGUGCCUGGAGCAGAGGGGAGCAGGACCCACGUCCCAGUCCCCCACAUCCCAGAUCUCACCGAAGAGAUCAACUAGCCUAGGGCCAGGCCAGUAGGAGAGGACCUUGUCCAUUUUCUCCAUGAAAAGUCAACAUUUAUCUCUCCAAGUACAAGUCACUUCCUAAUCUUGAGAUGUGUGGAAACAAGCUCUUUAUGCUGAAAAUCAACUUCUACAUUUUAGUUCUGAGAUGUGAUUCUGCCAGCCAUGGUGGACGAGGAGGAUGGUAGGGACUUAGCUAGAGUAGCACGUCCUCACUAGACAGGGGUGGGUGGUGUGGGGAGGUGGGGGGCUUGGCCUUAGCCUGAGUGUGACGUUCAGCCUGCAUCUUGAGCACAGUGAGAGCCUGAGCCACUGCACCACUGAAGAUGCUUAGAAGAGAGACCACAGCAGGCGAGGAGGCUUCCCAGGGGUCUGCGCUGACAAACCAGGGAUGAGGGUGGCCAGCUGUGCAUGAGCCCCCCAGCGCCCAUGCAGGCGUCCCCACCUUCACCACCUAAGUGUGGUCACGCACCCAGGGAGAGCUUUCAACCUGGCUCUCUCAAGUGUGUUUCUAAACACUAGAGCCAGGAAUCCUGUCCUGUGGGUCCCUGAAACAUAACCGGUGAGCCCAAGAUCUCCUCGGAGAAACAAGGCUCCCCUUAGGGAGGGCCCAGGAACGUGGGGGCCUCUGUGAGGCAGAGGGUCCCAGAGGGUAUGACCGUUUCUGCAGAAUGGUGGCCACUCUGCAGAAACAAAAUCACAGCCCAGGAAGAGCUGCCAAAGUGGGGGCCAGGGGAGCCGGAGAGGGGGACUGAGCCAGAUGCCUGCAGAGCCGUGGCUCACAGCCUCUAGGAGGUACGCCCAUGAAUGUUUCAGAACACAUUUGAGGACUGACGUAUGUGACCAACUUUUUCUUUUGUUAAGCAAGGAUUUUUAAUCACCAUUACUGGAUUAAAGAAAAAACAUUUUGGCUGGGUGCAGUGGCUCACACCUUUAAUCCUAGCACUUUGGGAGGCUGAGGCAGGCGGAUCACUUGAGGUCAGGAGUUUGAGACCAGCCUAAGCAACAUGGCGAAAUGCCAUCUCUACUAAAAAUACAAAAAUUAGCCAGGCCUGAUGACACGCACCUGUACACCUGUAGUCCCAGCUACCUGGGAGGCUGAGGCAUGAGAAUUGCUUGAACCUGGGGAGGCGGAGGUUGCAGUGAGAUGAGAUGGUGCCACUGCACUCCAGCCUGGGUGACAGAGUGAGACUCCAUCUCAAAAUAAAUAAAUAAAUGACAUUUUAAUACCACAAUUAGGAUAAUUUCAGAAUAAAAAUUUUUUUUCUUUAAAACUUUGUAGAAAAUCCCACACACCCAAUUUGGCCUUGUCUGGGAAAUGUGAGGAUUCCUGUCUCCUGGGACAGACAGUCUCACUGCCAGGCAUCCUCCCCCUGCAGUGAUUCACAUCCUACAAUGUCUGCCCUGAUGUGUCAAUUGUAGAGUAGGUCCCUCAUGGAGGCCCAGAGGCCCCAGCCCAGAGCCCGUCUGUCAGUCAUUGGCUGAGAGUGGUUGGGACAGGUGACCCCGCAGUUGAGGCGACCCCCCACGAUCUCUGGAAAAGGCAGCUGAGCCCCAGUUGCAGCAGGUUGGGGGAGAUGGUGCUGCCACAGCACAAAGGACCUAGCCCCAGUGGCACCCACCACUGUCAGAACUCUCCACUGAGGGCCAGGGUGGAUCUUUCCUCCCACAUCCAAGCGCAUCUGACAUCUUCACCUUGAAUCCUGAGUUUCUCUCUUAACUCUGUCUCACUUUGUCAUGAACAAACUCUUUCUUGAAAGUUGUAUUUCUCUGGGGCCAGAAAGGCGAGGAAAGAGGCGCUUUCUCCUGGGAGGUGGGCCUCGUGUGUCCCUGUCGUGGCUGAGAGUGACUGCCCCAGCACCUAUGAAGAAAGCCCAGAGACUCUGGAGGCUCAGCUGGGAUAACGCCUGGCGUGCUCGGGGGUCAUGGCCACCGCCUGGACUCUGGAAAAAUGGGAAAAAUGCUCUUGGCAGACAGCGGGGCAGUCAGGAGGGAGCUGGCCCCACCAGCCCAGGCAACGCCCAAGAGCUGUCCUCCCACUCGGCUCCAGGAGACGUUUAAAUGGGGCCUGACUCCCCCAUCUCUGAUUUAAAAGAUAACCAGAAGCAGCAGAGAAAACAUCUGAAGUGCUUCCUGGACACACCUGUUAGGAAGUUUCUGCAAGAACCCAGGUAAGAGCUGGACUAAGCGGGGGUCCGUGGGUGGGAGGAGGGAGAACGCCUGCCUGGGCAUUUACAGAGAUGAGUUUGCAGAGAUAAUGAUGCCAGGGUUUCAGCCCCAGCCCCAGGAAGAGAACGGCAGCAGGAAAAGUUAGAGAGGAGAGGGAGCAGGAGGUGGAGAGCUCGGCCCCUCCUUCGCUGCUGCCCUCUGGGUGACGCUCAGCGGAGGCGCCACGUAGCAGCUGCGAGAGCCCCGAGACAACCUCUGCACUGUUUAUGGGAUCGCAUUAGGGGAGCAGCGGCCCUGCAUGACCCCACAGGUGAGCAGGACACCUCAUCAUAGGGUAGGCACGUGAGCAGACUCACCCUCACACAGCUGCCUUCAGGGCUGCCCAGGUCAGGUGCUCAGAACACAAAAGAAAGUGAGACAAAGUCGCCACCCUGGAGUUUACGAGCUGGCGUGGGAGACAGGCUGGCACUGAGGAUGACAGUGGAGAGAGAUCGGGCUGGGAAGAACCGGAGGCGCUGGGGAAGCCGGGUCAGCAGGGAGACCCCAGCAGAGUGGGAGCCGGAGGACGGCGGCGACUGCAGCCCGACUGUUUCAGGUGGCGUCCUCGUCACGAGAGGAGCUUGAGCGGGUCGUGGCCUUCCUGGCAACCUGCCUACAGAGAAAACGAUUGCUGGGUGCAGAUGUCUCGAACAUUUAUUGCAUUCCACGUUGUCAGUCAAUAAAACAGCUUUGCGAGCGUAAUACUGACAAAAUCAAGUUCAGGCGGUAAGCCCCAGGGCUUCCAAGAAAAGUGGAUCGGGGGGCUUGCUCAGCUCUGGUAUCCAGGGGGGGCCACUGCCUGGUUCCCAGGCAAAGGAGUACAAACUGCCGGGAGAAACAAGGACCCUGCAGGAAGAAGGGACCUGCCCGACUUGUUCCCCCGCACCCACAUCAGGAAUUUUCCCAGAAAGCCAUCCACUUUGUUAGAGACAAAAUAAAGGUCAUUUGGAGAAAAACCUGCCAGCAGCUGCUGCUGCUUGAAAAUAGAAAAGAUUUUAAAAGUAGCAGUGUUGGGAGGCCAAGGCAGGCAGAUCACCUGAGGUCAGGAGUUCGAGACCAGCCUGGCCAACAUGGCGAAACCCCGUCUCUACUAAAAAUAGAAAAAUUAGCUGGGCAUGGUGGUGAGCACCUGUAAUCCCAGCUACUCGGGAGGCUGAGGCAGGAGAAUCACUUAAACCUGGGAGGCGAAGAUUGCAAUGAGCUGAGAUUGUGCCACUGCACUCCAGCCUGGGCAACAGAGCAGGACAUCGUCUCAAAAAAAAAAAAAAAAUGCAGCAGUGGUUUGAAAUCAUGCAUUUUUAUGUGUUAUCCUCAAACAUCUGAGGGAGAUAAGAAAGAAUAUACCACGGAUGAGAAUAUUUAUAAUUAUCAGAAAAAAAACUGCCUCCUAGGAACAAUCCUGUGAGCUCCAUCAUCAAAUCUGAUUCAGAAGCCUCCAAAUCCCCUACUUGCCCUGGCAGCUGCUACCCACCUCACAGCUGUCCUUUGCAGAUUACUACAAAUGUUCUCUUAAAUAUUCAUUUAUCCCCCAGCAUUGACAGGUGAGGAAUGAUGUUGCUUGGGCUAUUUCUGCCCCAGGUGGCCCCUGUAAAGCCGGGACCUUGGAUCCCCUCUCUCAUAUGAGCCUCCUAAGCGGGCUCCCAGCUCCUGGAUGGGGUCUUCUCAGGGCCUAGGGCCCCCUCAUCUGCCCAGAACAAACUUCCUCAUCCAGAUGUCACCAUUCACUUCCCCAGGUCCUCCUUCCCACCAGACAUGAGGAUUUUAACUUGAUCAUCUCUGCAAAGACCUUAUCUUCAAAUACAGUUACAUUCUGAAGUCCUGGGGGUUAGGGCUGCAACACCCGAAUUGGUGGAGACAAAAUCCAGCUCCUGACAAUACCGCGUAUGAUAGCUGCGUCUCUGCCUGCAGUACUGUUUUCCAGGGAAAGCAUCUUUGAGUGUAUUCAGAAAGCCUCUCUCUGGGGCCAGGCCUUGCAGAGAAUCCUUCAGAAACUGGACAACCCCACCCAAGGCAGUCAGUGGGGAGGACACAUUUGGUGCCUCAUUGGUCCCUGGAUCUGCCUCACAGUCCUCAAUGUUCCUCCUCGUUCCCUCUACUCUUUCUCCUCUUUGGUUGACCUUGAAGCUCAUUCCUGGUGAAGGCCCCGUGGGAGCAGUGCAAUGACAAGAGGAGCCUGUUUUCAAUAGCACCCUCACGCUCUCCAGGGGUCCAUUGGAGGCGCCUAUGACCUCCUGAUGCUGAGGAGCCUAGAGUGGGCAGCCCUCGGGCCCAGGCUCCACCUGGGUGAGGCCUGUUUUAUUAUCAAUACUCACCACAGUCAUUUGUGGGAGUGUAAUGCUCAUAUUCCCAUUUAAGAGAUGAAUAAACUGAGGCAAGGUGAAGUGACUCAGCUGAGGCCACACCACAGUUUAAUGGGGAAGCCAGGAUAAGAGCUGGCGGCUUCUAUGUCUGAUCUACACUCUGAUGGGAGGUCGUCAGAGAGCCAUGUAAACGGUGAGGAGGUGACAUGCUGGUCCCUUCCAUAAAAGCUGUUUUGCAAAAUUAAAACACACACACAGUAAAGAUCCAGAUUUAUGCAAGUGAGAGUGAGGGGCUGACUAUUUACCAGUCAACAGAUCUCCCCAAAUGGUUCUCUGCUUGGGGUUGAGAUGCUCCUGACCAGCAGGGCUUGGGGAGAGACAUUCUUGCUCCCCCUAGAGCUGGCUGACCCAUACCCAGGGGAUUCUGAGCACCAGGGGCUGGGAGCAGCAUGUACCACGUGUUUCCCAAGAGUUAGUCAUGUUUGCUCCUAAAACUUAUUGUAAUCGAGGAAUCUAAUUAAACAAUACACCAACUGAAGAAACAGUG